This 482-nucleotide ribosomal RNA is filed under the name uncultured bacterium. RNAcentral's name for it is "partial 16S ribosomal RNA". It matches the Rfam family "Bacterial small subunit ribosomal RNA", at positions 28 to 523 of the family's 1533-position model. The record is from RNAcentral.
GAUGAACGCUGGCGGCGUGCUUAACACAUGCAAGUCGAACGAUGAUGCACCGCUUGCGGUGUGGAUUAGUGGCGAACGGGUGAGUAACACGUGAGUAACCUGCCCUUGACUCUGGGAUAAGCCUGGGAAACUGGGUCUAAUACCGGAUAUGACCUUUCACCGCAUGGUGGGGGGUGGAAAGCUUUUGUGGUUUUGGAUGGACUCGCGGCCUAUCAGCUUGUUGGUGGGGUAAGGGCCUACCAAGGCGAUGACGGGUAGCCGGCCUGAGAGGGUGACCGGCCACACUGGGACUGAGACACGGCCCAGACUCCUACGGGAGGCAGCAGUGGGGAAUAUUGCACAAUGGGCGGAAGCCUGAUGCAGCGACGCCGCGUGAGGGAUGACGGCCUUCGGGUUGUAAACCUCUUUCAGCAGGGAAGAAGCGAAAGUGACGGUACCUGCAGAAGAAGCGCCGGCUAACUACGUGCCAGCAGCCGCCGUAA